CUUCUUUUCUGCCAAGUUCAAACAAGAUUGCUAGCGAAAAAGAUGGCACAAUCUUGUAACAGUGUAAGCUGUUAAGAUGAUCAUUAUAGUUUUCAAAAAAAAAAAAACAAAAUAUUGUAAAUUAAUUAUAAUCUACUACAUCAUGUUCAUGCACAUGCAUUAAUAAGAAAUAAUACAUGCAAAUAUUGUUAGUACUUAAUACUUUUCUAACAAAGUUUUUUUUUGUCAAUUCCAGACAUACAAACCCCAUUUCCGCCAGCGACAGCGCCUAUCGUAGGCCAGUGGUACAAAACCGUUUUGACAUUUGCCACGAGUGCCAAAGGCAAUAAAGUACUCGAUCUACACGGAUACAGGCUCUGUAAGAAAAAAACAACCAAACACCUUACUUGGUGGUCUUGUAUACACAAGAAGUGCAAGGCACGUUCCGCUACAAUCGGUGAGAGGUACAUAAAAUUUGGCGAGCUGUACCACGACCAUCCCAUAAGAAAGAGUUCCAAGUCGUGGAUUAAUUUGGUCCCAAUUGACCUAUCCCGUCUACCGAAUGCGACGGAGAUUGCCAAGGAACCCCCGGAAAUGACCUUCGAGCUUCGCAUAUCCCUGGCUAUAGUGCGAAAUCUUCCGCCACGUUUGUCCAUAAACCGGUUGAUCAAAACCCGGAACCCAUCAAGGUGCAUCGUGCACCUUCCACCUCCGGUGCGAUCAAAUUCGUUCGCAGUAAGAAAAAGAAUUCCCAACUGGUGUACAAAGGCUUCCUGUACUACCGAAAGCUAACCCAGCAAAAUGGCAAUACCACGUGGCAGUGUAUCGAUGGUACGAAGUUAUGCUGCAAGGCGAUAUGCGUUACCAAGUUCAACAAACUGAUACGCGCCAAACGGCAGCAUGCUCAUGAGAACCAUGAGAGUAAGAUAAGGAAUCGGCGGCUGUACAACUACCCGACCCGGAAGAUUUAGAAGAAUACCUGGACAUCUUAUCAUGGACGUCAUCGACGAUGGAACCGAUUACAAGCUGGUCGUUCAGGAUACCAUCGAGAAACUGGUACAAGAAGCACCUGGGAGUCACAUAGGAGACAUGAUGGCGAGUGGGACGGAUACGUUCUAUGCGACACCUCAGUAACACAUUCUAGUACUACAAUUAAAAUUAAACCGUGAAAAUAAAGAUUGGAAAAAGUGAGCGCAGAUGAAAUUUGUCUGAGAAGUAGAGAAAUUCGGCAUGUUACCAUAAGAACAUAUAAUAAAAAAAAAUGACAAGGGCUUAACGAAUGUCCAUUUCAGAUGAGCUAACAUCUUCGACGAAGAUGAUCUUCAAAGAUGACGAAUGCGUUGGUUCGUCGGAUCGAGUGUAUACAUUCCUCACCAGUCGACAGGGAGGCAUCCAUUUGGUUCACGACUGGUAUAUCUAUCGAUCGAACCUACGUCGAUGCGGCCGUAACAAAGACAUCAUCUACUGGGAAUGUGUGCACAACCGAGUAGAAAAAUGUCGCGGACGACUGAAAAGCGUGGGCGAUCAACUGCACAUUUCAAACUCGAAUAUACAACAAAAUCAUGAACCGGACACAAUAAAGAUAGCAACGGCCAUGGCUUCCGGGCACAUCUCUUACAAAACGUUAUCCUCACUGGGAGCCGUGUUUACCACAAUUAGGAUACGUGAACCGGUGCAAAAGUGAAUAAAAUAUUUUUUUUUAAAUUAUUUCAAAAUCGAGUGUGCGGCGGUACAGUUCGUCCGAAGUAGGAAGGGCAAACCACUAUUGCUGUACAAAGGCCAUCAGUACACGUUGAACCGUCGACGGAAACAGCUGGGCUACUGGGAGUGCGUUCACAGGCGAUCGAAGCUGAAAAGUUGUCCCUCUUGGAUAACGACGGACAACGUUCAGAUUAAGCGUGUCAAGGGCGAACACGACCACAUGCCUCCGGAGAUGAUAGAAUAUCUGUUGGAUGACAGCAAUGCAUUUCUGAAAGUAGCACCAUCAGAAUAAAAGUUGCAUUUUUGAAAUGUUCGUUUCUCUGUUUGAUUUAGUUGAUAUAAGUAAAUCUGUGUUACCAGACCGUGAACCGUGAAUGUGAUUGAAAACGUUGAAUUUUUAAAAUUUUCACAUUCGGUCUUUACAGUUCUCAUUGAACGUCUGGUGGAGCCUGAACUGAUCAAAGAGGAACCAAACAAGUUGCUAUUCGUUCGCAGUCGUUGGGGACGUAAACUUCUAAUCUACGAACGAUAUGUUUUCUUCCCCAACAAACGGGUCGAGGCGACGAAUACCACCUACUGGCGAUGUACGUUUUCCAGCAAUCGGAAAGGCCCAAACCGCUGCUCGGUGCGAUGCAUUACUAGAGACAAUCAGGUUAUAAACUUUCACGGACUGCAUAACCAUCCGGAAGAAAUGUCCAAACUGCAUGGAAGACAUGUCUUCGACCAGUACAGUGUGUAUGAUCCAUGAAAAAUAGUAGAACAUGUUCAAUUCAAA
This is an RNA transcript of Aedes albopictus (Asian tiger mosquito), 2455 nucleotides long. RefSeq lists it as uncharacterized. NCBI's taxonomy places the organism in Eukaryota, Metazoa, Arthropoda, Insecta, Diptera, Culicidae. The record is from RefSeq and is a predicted model, not a curated record. The transcript is spliced from 4 exons.